Molecule: ribosomal RNA, 492 nt
Filed under: uncultured bacterium
Lineage: Bacteria
Description: partial 16S ribosomal RNA
Rfam family: Bacterial small subunit ribosomal RNA
Source: RNAcentral
AGUGAACGCUGGCGGUAGGCCUAACACAUGCAAGUCGAACGGCAGCACAGUAAGAGCUUGCUCUUACGGGUGGCGAGUGGCGGACGGGUGAGGAAUACAUCGGAAUCUACUUUUUCGUGGGGGAUAACGUAGGGAAACUUACGCUAAUACCGCAUACGACCUACGGGUGAAAGCAGGGGAUCUUCGGACCUUGCGCGAUUGAAUGAGCCGAUGUCGGAUUAGCUAGUUGGCGGGGUAAAGGCCCACCAAGGCGACGAUCCGUAGCUGGUCUGAGAGGAUGAUCAGCCACACUGGAACUGAGACACGGCCCAGACUCCUACGGGAGGCAGCAGUGGGGAAUAUUGGACAAUGGGCGCAAGCCUGAUCCAGCCAUACCGCGUGGGUGAAGAAGGCCUUCGGGUUGUAAAGCCCUUUUGUUGGGAAAGAAAAGCGGCAGGUUAAUACCCCGCUGUUCUGACGGUACCCAAAGAAUAAGCACCGGCUAACUUCGUG